CCAGGGCUCCGGGCCGCCGGCGGGGGCUGCCCGGGGAGUCAGUUGCGGCGGAGGCGGAGGCGGAGGCAGCGGC
RNAcentral lists this microRNA precursor (73 nucleotides) under Cricetulus griseus (Chinese hamster). RNAcentral describes it as "miRNA (ENSCGRG00001007158.1)". The record is from RNAcentral. Lineage: Eukaryota; Metazoa; Chordata; Mammalia; Rodentia; Cricetidae.